RNAcentral lists this ribosomal RNA (435 nucleotides) under uncultured bacterium. Its description in RNAcentral is "partial 16S ribosomal RNA". It matches the Rfam family "Bacterial small subunit ribosomal RNA", at positions 29 to 507 of the family's 1533-position model. The record is from RNAcentral.
AGCGAACGCUGGCGGCAGGCUUAACACAUGCCAGUCGAGCGGGCAUCUUCGGAUGUCAGCGGCAGACGGGUGCGUAACACGUGGGAACGUACCCUUCGGUUCGGAACAACUCUGGGAGACUGGAGCUAAUACCGGAUACGCCCUUAUGGGGAAAGGUUUACUGCCGAAGGAUCGGCCCGCGUCUGAUUAGCUAGUUGGUGGGGUAACGGCCUACCAAGGCGACGAUCAGUAGCUGGUCUGAGAGGAUGAUCAGCCACACUGGGACUGAGACACGGCCCAGACUCCUACGGGAGGCAGCAGUGGGGAAUAUUGGACAAUGGGCGCAAGCCUGGUCCAGCCAUGCCGCGUGAGUGAUGAAGGCCUUAGGGUUGUAAAACUCUUUUGUCCGGGACGAUAAUGACGGUACCGGAAGAAUAAGCCCCGGCUAACUUCGUG